AACAUGUGAACUAAAUCAGCAACUAAUUUUUGUUGUUGAACACUCAUUCAUUUAUACAAUGGGAUAAUCUUCGGAGGCUUGCUGUGUAAGUUGAUGAGAGAACAAUUGGGCACGGCUCAGUGCCAAGGAAAAUAUUUAGCGUGAGCAUUAAUGACAUUAUUCUGAAGCAUAUGUUUUGGGGGAUUGUUAUUUUCUCCUUAAGAGUUAUAUGACUCUCGGCAAUGGAUAUCUUGGCUCUCGCAUCGAUGAAGAGCGCAGCGAAAUGCGAUACGUGGUGCGAAUUGUAGAAUCCCGUGAAUCAUCGAGUUUUUGAACGCAAGUUGCGCCUGAGGCCAACUGGCCAAGGGCACGCCCGCCUGGGCGUCAAGCAUUACAUCACUCCAUUUGGCACACACCAUUGAUCAGUCACUUGGUUGCGUAGUCUUGGAUGUGGAGAAUGGCUCGUCAUGCAAUGUUGUGUGGCGGGUUAAAGAGCGGGAUUAUUUUCUCUUGGUGAUGAUCGAUACAUGGGUGGGAUGGAAACCCCAAUUGAUCCUCAUCAUCGUAUGAUCGCCAUGAGAAAGAUAAUAAAUCCCGAGCUAACCUAGCUCAAGUUGGAAGCAAAUUGAAAUGCGACCCCAGGAUGGGCGGGGUGACCCGCUGAGUUUAAGCAUAUCAAUAA
Molecule: ribosomal RNA, 661 nt
Filed under: Pterygodium cruciferum
Lineage: Eukaryota; Viridiplantae; Streptophyta; Magnoliopsida; Asparagales; Orchidaceae
Description: eukaryotic LSU rRNA
Rfam family: 5.8S ribosomal RNA (bases 211-366)
Source: RNAcentral